UCUGCUCGUGGCGGCAGAUGUAAAUAAACGGUGGGGCGGCUGCAAAAGAGCCGCCUUGCUGGGUAAAAUCAUGUUGUGCCGCGGAACCCGCUCCUCAGCUAGUCACACUUCGGAAGCGCGGGCAACGCAGGCGGUAUCGUCAUAAAGGGCCGGCUGCAACCGGCCC
RNAcentral lists this small RNA (166 nucleotides) under uncultured Collinsella sp. Its description in RNAcentral is "Collinsella-1 RNA". It matches the Rfam family "Collinsella-1 RNA", at positions 32 to 196 of the family's 196-position model. Lineage: Bacteria; Bacillati; Actinomycetota; Coriobacteriia; Coriobacteriales; Coriobacteriaceae. The record is from RNAcentral.